CCGUAUGUGGUGCAACGGUUAGCACGCGCCCCCAGAAAGUGUGAGAUCUGGGUUCAAAUCCCGGCUGACGUA
This is a non-coding RNA of Parelaphostrongylus tenuis, 72 nucleotides long. Lineage: Eukaryota; Metazoa; Nematoda; Chromadorea; Rhabditida; Metastrongylidae. The record is from the annotation of a GenBank genome assembly.